GUGCGUGUCGAGCGAAUGGAUUAAGAGCUUGCUCUUAUGAAGUUAGCGGCGGACGGGUGAGUAACAUGUGGGUAACCUGCCCAUAAGACUGGGAUAACUCCGGGAAACCGGGGCUAAUACCGGAUAACAUUUUGAACCGCAUGGUUCGAAAUUGAAAGGCGGCUUCGGCUGUCACUUAUGGAUGGACCCGCGUCGCAUUAGCUAGUUGGUGAGGUAACGGCUCACCAAGGCAACGAUGCGUAGCCGACCUGAGAGGGUGAUCGGCCACACUGGCACUGAGACACGGCCCAGACUCAUACGGGAGGCAGCAGUAGGGAAUCUUCCGCAAUGGACGAAAGUCUGACGGAGCAACGCCGCGUGAGUCAUGAAGGCUUUCGGGUCGUAAAACUCUGUUGUUAGGACAGAACAAGUGCUAGUUGAAUAAGCUGGCACCUUGACGGUACCUAACCAGAAAGCCACGGCUAACUACGUGCCAGCAGCCGCGGUAAUACGUAGGUGGCAAGCGUUAUCCGGAAUUAUUGCGCGUAAAGCGCGCGCAGGUGGUUUCUUAAGUCUGAUGUGAAAGCCCCACGGCUCACCCGUGGAGGGUCAUUGGAAACUGGGAGACUUGAGUGCAGAAGAGGAAAGUGGAAUUCCAUGUGUAGCGGUGAAAUGCGUAGAGAUAUGGAGGAACACCAGUCGCGUAUGCGACUUUCUGGUUCUGUAACUGACACUGAGGCGCGAAAGCGUGGGGAGCAUACAGGAUUAGAUACCCUGGUAGUCCACGCCGUAAACGAUGAGUGCUAAGUGUUAGAGGUUUCCGUCCUUUAGUGCUGAAGCUAACGUCAUUAAGCACUCCGCCUGGGGGAGUACGGGCCGCUAGAUAGAAAACAUCAAAGAAAUCGACGGCGGCCCCGCACAGCGGUGGA
Molecule: ribosomal RNA, 908 nt
Filed under: Bacillus cereus
Lineage: Bacteria; Bacillati; Bacillota; Bacilli; Caryophanales; Bacillaceae
Description: bacterial SSU rRNA
Rfam family: Bacterial small subunit ribosomal RNA
Source: RNAcentral